Molecule: ribosomal RNA, 414 nt
Filed under: uncultured bacterium
Lineage: Bacteria
Description: bacterial SSU rRNA
Rfam family: Bacterial small subunit ribosomal RNA
Source: RNAcentral
GUGCCAGCCGCCGCGGUAAUACGUAGGGUGCAAGCGUUGUCCGGAAUUAUUGGGCGUAAAGAGCUAAUAGACACCUUGUCGCGUCUGCCGUGAAAGCCCGGAGCUCAACUCCGGGUCUGCGGUGGGUACGGGCAGGCUAGAGUGCGGUAGGGGCGAUUGGAAUUCCUGGUGUAGCGGUGGAAUGCGCAGAUAUCAGGAGGAACACCGAUGGCGAAGGCAGAUCUCUGGGCCGCUACUGACGCUGAGGAGCGAGAGCAUGGGGAGCGAACAGGAUUAGAUACCCUGGUAGUCCAUGCCGUAAACGUUGGGAACUAGAUGUAGGGCCUGUUCCACGGGUUCUGUGUCGUAGCUAACGCAUUAAGUUCCCCGCCUGGGGAGUACGGCCGCAAGGCUAAAACUUAAAUAAAUUGACGG